Molecule: ribosomal RNA, 304 nt
Filed under: uncultured bacterium
Lineage: Bacteria
Description: bacterial SSU rRNA
Rfam family: Bacterial small subunit ribosomal RNA
Source: RNAcentral
CCGCAUAACAUUGUCAAAUGGCAUCAUUUGAUAANNAAAGGAGCAAUCCGCUAUAAGAUGGGCCCCGUCAGCAUUAGUUAGUUGGUGGGGUAACGGCCUACCAAGACGACGAUGCGUAGCCGACCUGAGAGGGUGAUCGGCCACAUUGGGACUGAGACACGGCCCAGACUCCUACGGGAGGCAGCAGCGGGGAAUAUUGCACAAUGGGGGAAACCCUGAUGCAGCAACGCCGCGUGAGCGAUGAAGGUCUUCGGAUCGUAAAGCUCUGUCUUUAGGGAUGAUAAUGACAGUACCUAAGGAGGAA